AAUGUUAGAAUUAUUAUUUUUUUUCUUAAUUUAUAGAUUUUAAUAAUAUAAAUAAAUUUAAUUUUUUGGGUUUAUGUAAAUUUUAAAGAAUAAAUGUUUUAAAUAAUAGUUUAAUAGUAUCGUUUUAGAAUUUUGAAAUAUUAUUAAAUUAAAUUAUUUGAAAGUAGAUUUGAUUUAUUUUACCUUGUGUAUCAGGGUUUUUUAAAUAAAAAAUAUUUAAUUAUUUUUCUCGAAUUUAAAAGAUCUAAUUAUUUAUAUUAUUUUUAAUGUAGCAAAAUUAUUUUAAAUUUAUAAUUAGAAGUGAAAUGUUAUCGUUUUUAAAGUUAUCUAGUUUUUUAAUAAAUAAAUUUAAUUUAUAUAUUAAAUUAUAAUAAUUAAUUAUUAAUUAAUUUAUUUUGUUUAAUAUUAAUAUUUUAAGGGAUAAGCUUUAGAAUAAAUUUUUAUAAUUUUUAUUUAGUGAAAAAUAAUUUAGACUUAAAAAUAGUUUUAAUUUUAUAAAUGUUAAAAUUUUAUUUUUUAUUUAAUGAUUUUUAGAUAAAUUUAAUUUUUUAUUAAAAUUUUUAAUUUAAUUUUUAAAUUAAAUUAAUUAUGAUAGAAUUAGUAAAUUUAUAUUAUUUAUAUUAUUUAAAUAAAUUUUAGGUUAAUUAAAGGAAUUCGGCAAAAUAAAUAUUAUUUAUAAAAUAUAGAUAUAUUCGCUUGUUUAACAAAAACAUCGUUUUUUGAAUUUAAUUUAAAAUUUGGUCUGCUCAAUGAAUUAAUUUUUAAAUAGCCGCAGUAAUUUGACUGUGCAAAGGUAGCAUAAUAAUUAGUCUUUUAAUUGAAGGCUGGCAUGAAUGAUUUGACGAAAUAUUAACUGUCUCUAAUUAAUUUUUUUUGAAUUUAAUUUUUAAGUAAGAAAGCUUAAAUUUUUUUAAAGGACGAGAAGACCCUAUAGAGUUUUAUAAUAAUUUUAUUUUUUAUUUAUUUUUAUUGAAAAUAAAAUUAUUAUUUUGGUUGGGGUGAUUGGAAUAUUAAUAUAACUUUUUUAAUUUUUUUUACAUUGAUGUUUGAUUUUUUGAUCCUUUAUUAUAGAUUAUUAGAUUAAAUUACCUUAGGGAUAACAGCGUAAUUUUUUUUAGAGUUCUUAUCGAAAAAAAAGAUUGCGACCUCGAUGUUGGAUUAAAAUUUAAAUUUGGUGCAGAAAUUAAAUAUUUUGGUCUGUUCGACCUUUAAAAUUUUACAUGAUCUGAGUUCAAACCGGUGUGAGCCAGGUUGGUUUCUAUCCUUAAAUGAUAUUUUAAAAAUUUUUAGUACGAAAGGAUUAAGAUUUUAAAUUAUAUUUAUUAUUUAUUGAUUAAAAUUAAAUUAAUUAAAAUAA
This 1357-nucleotide ribosomal RNA is filed under the name Corynis sp. RNAcentral's name for it is "16S ribosomal RNA". The stretch from base 1096 to 1253 matches the Rfam family "Eukaryotic large subunit ribosomal RNA", at positions 2825 to 2984 of the family's 3401-position model. Lineage: Eukaryota; Metazoa; Arthropoda; Insecta; Hymenoptera; Cimbicidae. The record is from RNAcentral.